RNAcentral lists this ribosomal RNA (1246 nucleotides) under Salmonella enterica. RNAcentral's name for it is "partial 23S ribosomal RNA". It matches the Rfam family "Bacterial large subunit ribosomal RNA", at positions 1576 to 2803 of the family's 2925-position model. Lineage: Bacteria; Pseudomonadati; Pseudomonadota; Gammaproteobacteria; Enterobacterales; Enterobacteriaceae. The record is from RNAcentral.
ACUACGGUGCUGAAGCAACAAAUGCCCUGCUUCCAGGAAAAGCCUCUAAGCAUCAGGUAACACGAAAUCGUACCCCAAACCGACACAGGUGGUCAGGUAGAGAAUACCAAGGCGCUUGAGAGAACUCGGGUGAAGGAACUAGGCAAAAUGGUGCCGUAACUUCGGGAGAAGGCACGCUGACACGUAGGUGAAGUGAUUUACUCAUGGAGCUGAAGUCAGUCGAAGAUACCAGCUGGCUGCAACUGUUUAUUAAAAACACAGCACUGUGCAAACACGAAAGUGGACGUAUACGGUGUGACGCCUGCCCGGUGCCGGAAGGUUAAUUGAUGGGGUCAGCGCAAGCGAAGCUCCUGAUCGAAGCCCCGGUAAACGGCGGCCGUAACUAUAACGGUCCUAAGGUAGCGAAAUUCCUUGUCGGGUAAGUUCCGACCUGCACGAAUGGCGUAAUGAUGGCCAGGCUGUCUCCACCCGAGACUCAGUGAAAUUGAACUCGCUGUGAAGAUGCAGUGUACCCGCGGCAAGACGGAAAGACCCCGUGAACCUUUACUAUAGCUUGACACUGAACAUUGAGCCUUGAUGUGUAGGAUAGGUGGGAGGCUUUGAAGUGUGGACGCCAGUCUGCAUGGAGCCGACCUUGAAAUACCACCCUUUAAUGUUUGAUGUUCUAACGUGGACCCGUAAUCCGGGUUGCGGACAGUGUCUGGUGGGUAGUUUGACUGGGGCGGUCUCCUCCUAAAGAGUAACGGAGGAGCACGAAGGUUGGCUAAUCCUGGUCGGACAUCAGGAGGUUAGUGCAAUGGCAUAAGCCAGCUUGACUGCGAGCGUGACGGCGCGAGCAGGUGCGAAAGCAGGUCAUAGUGAUCCGGUGGUUCUGAAUGGAAGGGCCAUCGCUCAACGGAUAAAAGGUACUCCGGGGAUAACAGGCUGAUACCGCCCAAGAGUUCAUAUCGACGGCGGUGUUUGGCACCUCGAUGUCGGCUCAUCACAUCCUGGGGCUGAAGUAGGUCCCAAGGGUAUGGCUGUUCGCCAUUUAAAGUGGUACGCGAGCUGGGUUUAGAACGUCGUGAGACAGUUCGGUCCCUAUCUGCCGUGGGCGCUGGAGAACUGAGGGGGGCUGCUCCUAGUACGAGAGGACCGGAGUGGACGCAUCACUGGUGUUCGGGUUGUCAUGCCAAUGGCACUGCCCGGUAGCUAAAUGCGGAAGAGAUAAGUGCUGAAAGCAUCUAAGCACGAAACUUGCCCCGAG